Molecule: ribosomal RNA, 483 nt
Filed under: uncultured bacterium
Lineage: Bacteria
Description: partial 16S ribosomal RNA
Rfam family: Bacterial small subunit ribosomal RNA
Source: RNAcentral
ACUCAAAUGAAUAGACGGGGACCCGCACAAGCAGCGGAGCGUGUGGUUUAAUUCGAUGCAACGCGAAGAACCUUACCAAGGCUUGACAUGCUUUUGCACCGGCGGUAACGCGCCGUCUCCUUCGGGAGCGGGAGCACAGGUGCUGCAUGGCUGUCGUCAGCUCGUGUCGUGAGAUGUUGGGUUCAGUCCCGCAACGAGCGCAACCCCUGCGGUUAGUUGAAUGGUCUAGCCGGACUGCCACGAUCAACGUGGAGGAAGGCGGGGAUGACGUCAAGUCAGCACGGCCCUUACGCCUUGGGCGACACACACGCUACAAUGGUCGGGACAAUGGGACGCCAACCCGCGAGGGGGAGCCAAUCCUCUAAACCCGGCCUCAGUUCAGAUUGGAGGCUGCAACCCGCCUCCAUGAAGGAGGAGUUGCUAGUAACCGUGAGUCAGCACAUCACGGUGAAUCCGUUCCCGGGUCUUGCACACACCGCCCGU